UACAUCAAAAGGAAUAGAAAAAUUAGCUCCACGAAAGCAUGAGGAAUGUACAACAAAGAUGGAGUUGGCAAAAGAAGUAGCGAUGCACAGUCUUAGUUAAAAUUAGUGCUGUAAAAAUAUCACAAAUGAUCUUCAUCUCUCACUUUUAUAUUGCAUGAUAUGUACUUGCAUUUUCAAGGAUUGAUAUGACAAAGGCAUUUUAUUCUGCUAUCCAAACAUCGUGUCAUCCUUUGUUUACCCCAUUUGAGCUUUAGUCCUAUUUUCUUUCAUACCUCUUUUGGAAUCAAGAUAGAGUCAGAAAAGCUCAAAAGAAAAGUGUCGAGCAAAACAAUAGAGUCAG
This 340-nucleotide long non-coding RNA is filed under the name Capsicum annuum. Its description in RNAcentral is "long non-coding RNA (CANN_LNC013565)". The record is from RNAcentral. Lineage: Eukaryota; Viridiplantae; Streptophyta; Magnoliopsida; Solanales; Solanaceae.